GACGAACGCUGGCGGCGUGCUUAACACAUGCAAGUCGAACAGAAAGGCCCUGCUUUUGUGGGGUGCUCGAGUGGCGAACGGGUGAGUAACACGUGAGUAACCUGCCCUUGACUUUGGGAUAACUUCAGGAAACUGGGGCUAAUACCGGAUAGGAGCUCCUGCUGCAUGGUGGGGGUUGGAAAGUUUCGGCGGUUGGGGAUGGACUCGCGGCUUAUCAGCUUGUUGGUGGGGUAGUGGCUUACCAAGGCUUUGACGGGUAGCCGGCCUGAGAGGGUGACCGGCCACAUUGGGACUGAGAUACGGCCCAGACUCCUACGGGAGGCAGCAGUGGGGAAUAUUGCACAAUGGGCGGAAGCCUGAUGCAGCAACGCCGCGUGCGGGAUGACGACCUUCGGGUUGUAAACCGCUUUCGCCUGUGACGAAGCGUGAGUGACGGUAAUGGGUAAAGAAGCACCGGCUAACUACGUG
Molecule: ribosomal RNA, 468 nt
Filed under: uncultured bacterium
Lineage: Bacteria
Description: partial 16S ribosomal RNA
Rfam family: Bacterial small subunit ribosomal RNA
Source: RNAcentral